Haliotis rubra (blacklip abalone) is the source of this 1139-nucleotide long non-coding RNA. RefSeq lists it as uncharacterized. NCBI's taxonomy places the organism in Eukaryota, Metazoa, Mollusca, Gastropoda, Lepetellida, Haliotidae. The transcript has 4 exons. The record is from RefSeq and is a predicted model, not a curated record.
CUUUGUCAUAACAUGGAUGAUUUUGAUUGGUUGAUUGGAUCGUCUGCUUCAACAUGAUUAUACCUCGUGGUGUCUUGUGAGUUUCAUUGCAUUCUGAGAGCUGAUAAUGUGAGGUCGAGUCAGAGGAGUCACCAGCAUCUACACACAUGUCACGCAUCGAGCAGAUAGAUGUCUAGGAGUAGCUUCGUCUUAUAGACGGGGUAUUCUUCUUCUACCUCUUCCUGUGAUGUAAGGAAUAAACAGAUUCACACCCUACAGCAAGUCGUUGUUUCUCGGAGUUUAGCUGUUACACAGAUACCACAACCUAAUACAGUUUGUACAAGGACGUACAGAUACCACAACCUAAUACAGUUUGUACAAGGACGUACAGAUACCACAACCUAAUACAGUUUGUACAAGGACGUACAGAUACCACAACCUAAUGCAAUUGCUACACUGAUCCUACAGAUUGCAACACCGAUUGCAACACCGAUUGCAACACCGAUUGCUACUCCGAUUGCUACUCCGAUUCUACCGAUUGGUACUCCGAUUCUACCGAUUGGUACUCCGAUCCUACCGAUUGCUACUCCGAUCCUACCGAUUGCUACUCCGAUCCUACCGAUUGCUACUCCGAUCCUACCGAUUGCUACUCCGAUCCUACCGAUUGCUACUCCGAUCCUACCGAUUGCUACUCUGAUCCUACCGAUUGCUACAGAGGUACCCUAUUCCGGGCCAGGAUAGGUCCCUAGACAAACGCUGACCAAUUGCGUAGAUCGAUUGUCAUGCUGUUGAUCACUGGAUUGUCUGGUACAGACUCGAUUAUUUAUAGACGGCUACCAUCGUACACAACCAGUCAAGGUGUACAUCAAUUCUACUCUCUCCUACUUACUAAUUACCAUCUUAGUGUACAUCAACUCAUCUAUUGUAUAACGUUUUUAACUCAUUUGGGAUAUUGUUUUAAUCAUUAUCACUCUGCAAAUCAACUUACUCUGCUCAAAUCACUAUAGCUAUCCAAUGUAUAUCAACGUUGUCUCACUAUGCAGCUAUGUAUAUAUUCUCCAUGUUACAACUCUUUGUAUCACUUGCUUGAUAACGGUCGACUAUUCUACACUUAAGACCAUUCUAGAGUUAAGGUCACAACACACGUCGCUCUCAUUGCA